RNAcentral lists this ribosomal RNA (749 nucleotides) under Agaricus campestris. RNAcentral describes it as "eukaryotic LSU rRNA". The stretch from base 332 to 485 matches the Rfam family "5.8S ribosomal RNA". Lineage: Eukaryota; Fungi; Basidiomycota; Agaricomycetes; Agaricales; Agaricaceae. The record is from RNAcentral.
UAACAAGGUUUCCGUAGGUGAACCUGCGGAAGGAUCAUUAUUGAAUUAUGUUUCUAGAUAGGUUGUAGCUGGCUCUUUAGAGCAUGUGCACGCCUGUUUGGACUUCAUUUUCAUCCACCUGUGCACCUAUUGUAGUCUUUGGUUGGGUUAGGAGGAAGUGGUCAUUGUGUCAGCAUCUGCUGGAUGUGAGGACUUGCAUUGUGAAAGCUUUGCUGUCCUUGAUGUGAUCAUGGAAUCUCUUUCUCACUAGAGUCUAUGUCACUCAUUAUACUCUGUCGAAUGUCAUUGAAUGUCUUUACAUGGGCUUGUAUGCCUAUGAAAAUUGUAAUACAACUUUCAGCAACGGAUCUCUUGGCUCUCGCAUCGAUGAAGAACGCAGCGAAAUGCGAUAAGUAAUGUGAAUUGCAGAAUUCAGUGAAUCAUCGAAUCUUUGAACGCAUCUUGCGCUCCUUGGUAUUCCGAGGAGCAUGCCUGUUUGAGUGUCAUUAAAUUCUCAACUCUCUUAUACUUUUUUGUAAAAGAGAGCUUGGACUGUGGAGGCUUGCUGGCCACUUUUUGGGGUCAGCUCCUCUGAAAUGCAUUAGCGGAACCGUUUGCGAUCUGCCACAAGUGUGAUAAGUUAUCUACGCUGGCGAGGGGAUUGCUCUCUGUAAUGUUCAGCUUCUAAUUGUCUCUACUUUGUGAGACUACUUUUGAAUGCUUGACCUCAAAUCAGGUAGGACUACCCGCUGAACUUAAGCAUAUCAAUA